This 321-nucleotide long non-coding RNA is filed under the name Homo sapiens (human). RNAcentral's name for it is "HSALNT0169588". The record is from RNAcentral. Lineage: Eukaryota; Metazoa; Chordata; Mammalia; Primates; Hominidae.
UGCACGGCUGGCCUGCUCCGGGCGCUGCUGAUGCUGCUGGUUCCUGGACCACCCUUGAGACCCUGGAUGACCUCUGAGGUGCUGCCUCCUUGCAAAAACCCUCAGCUCUUGGGACCUCUCCCUGCGCUUCCGAAGCCCUUUCAGAUAUUUUCCUGUAGCCCUCACAAAGAGCUUGGGGUUGCGGUUUCUGCCGCUGUUGACUCUCACGUGGAGUUUCGGAAAUGGGAGAGAAAUCUCCCAGCAGCCCAGCAGUUGAAGAGGAGCUGCCUCAAAUACCAGCCCAACGGGAGGCCUGUCUCUGGCUUUUAUGUUCAAGCUGGG